GAUGAACGCUGGCGGCGUGCCUAAUACAUGCAAGUCGAGCGAACAGAUAAGGAGCUUGCUCCUUUGACGUUAGCGGCGGACGGGUGAGUAACACGUGGGUAACCUACCUAUAAGACUGGGAUAACUUCGGGAAACCGGAGCUAAUACCGGAUAACAUUUGGAACCGCAUGGUUCUAAAGUGAAAGAUGGUUUUGCUAUCACUUAUAGAUGGACCCGCGCCGUAUUAGCUAGUUGGUAAGGUAACGGCUUACCAAGGCGACGAUACGUAGCCGACCUGAGAGGGUGAUCGGCCACACUGGAACUGAGACACGGUCCAGACUCCUACGGGAGGCAGCAGUAGGGAAUCUGCCGCAAUGGGCGAAAGCCUGACGGAGCAACGCCGCGUGAGUGAUGAAGGGUUUCGGCUCGUAAAACUCUGUUAUUAGGGAAGAACAAAUGUGUAAGUAACUGUGCACGUCUUGACGGUACCUAAUCAGAAAGCCACGGCUAACUACGUG
Molecule: ribosomal RNA, 497 nt
Filed under: uncultured bacterium
Lineage: Bacteria
Description: partial 16S ribosomal RNA
Rfam family: Bacterial small subunit ribosomal RNA
Source: RNAcentral